GAUGAACGCUGGCGGCGUGCUUAACACAUGCAAGUCGAACGGUGAACACGGAGCUUGCUCUGUGGGAUCAGUGGCGAACGGGUGAGUAACACGUGAGCAACCUGCCCCUGACUCUGGGAUAAGCGCUGGAAACGGCGUCUAAUACUGGAUAUGUGACGUGACCGCAUGGUCUGCGUUUGAAAAGAUUUUUCGGUUGGGGAUGGGCUCGCGGCCUAUCAGCUUGUUGGUGAGGUAAUGGCUCACCAAGGCGUCGACGGGUAGCCGGCCUGAGAGGGUGACCGGCCACACUGGGACUGAGACACGGCCCAGACUCCUACGGGAGGCAGCAGUGGGGAAUAUUGCACAAUGGGCGCAAGCCUGAUGCAGCAACGCCGCGUGAGGGAUGACGGCCUUCGGGUUGUAAACCUCUUUUAGCAGGGAAGAAGCGAAAGUGACGGUACCUGCAGAAAAAGCGCCGGCUAACUACGUG
Molecule: ribosomal RNA, 469 nt
Filed under: uncultured bacterium
Lineage: Bacteria
Description: partial 16S ribosomal RNA
Rfam family: Bacterial small subunit ribosomal RNA
Source: RNAcentral